This 1024-nucleotide long non-coding RNA is filed under the name Mus musculus (house mouse). RNAcentral describes it as "long non-coding RNA chr7:144421651-144422675". Lineage: Eukaryota; Metazoa; Chordata; Mammalia; Rodentia; Muridae. The record is from RNAcentral.
AUCGGAGCUUCUUUGGCCCCUAGGUCCUUGGCAGUGGUGGCUGUGGACAGGAUCGUGCCCUGCUUGCUUAACUUGCUGUCUUUAUUUCUGCAAACAGAUUAGCAUAAUUCCAGGGUGGCCAAAAUGAAGUCACACGGAGUUAGUCAAAGCACAAAGUCACGAUCCUGAGGAGGAGGGAGGCCUGGCUGUAGAGCCAGCCAAUGUGUGGCUGCCCAAGCCCACAGCCUCCUCCAGGGCAAGGACAGGUGUCUGCCCAGAGCAUCUGCCCAGGAGGGAGAGGUUGGGGCUCUUGAAAUUUACUCUAAUUGGAUGUCUGCAGAGCUCCACAGAGGUCAGAACAGGUGAGCAGCUACUUUUACAAGGACAAGAGGACCUGAGGCUUGUGGUAAGCAUGGCUGCCAUCGGGAAGCUGCUGUCCUCCCUGGUAGCAGAUGGAAUGCCAUACCCUUCAUCUGCACCAGGCCUUGGCUGAGCAUCCUGCCGAGGCAGCCCUUUGGCUCUCAGAGGCCAAGAAAGGUGGAACUCAGGGGCCUUUCUCCCUUCUCUCACAAAGUGGGGAUCCCACCAGCUUGUCUUAACAUCUGGCUCUCAGAGAAGCCCGUGGUCAGGACCUGGUGGAGGACAGAAAGUGGGGCACAGGCUGUGGCAAAGUUUAGGUGUGUGUGGAAAAGAAGGUGGGGAGCAUCGUGGACCAAGCCUCACCUCAGGCCCAGCCACCUGAGCCCACCCUUCUCGUCCCCAGAUGUCUCCCUCCCAAAACAAUACCUCUAAUGUCCCAGGGAGGUCACUGACUGCACACAGCCACCAUGCAGCCAGCCAGGCUCCCGAAACCCCCUCUCCCCCACGCUCAGAGGAGACUCGAAUGUCAGGUGACGGUUUUAUCAUUUCAGAACUAGCCCAGCCCAUCUCUAAUUAUAAAACAUCUUUUUCCUUUUUUUUUUUUUCUCUCUUCACUUAUGCUCACAACCACGUGUCUGACGAGGCCUGGAACAGCGCUACAAUGAACACAUAAAAUUUAGCAAUU